GAACCCUAAAUUAGUCACCUCCCUCUCUACCUAUUUUUCUUCCCUCUUCUCACCCCCUCUCACUGCUCCUCUCUCUCCGUGCUCUCCGUCCGGCGACCCACCGUCCGGCAAGCUGACCACCAUUCUUACCUUCCCUCUUCUCUUCUCGCCUCUCCUCUUCCCUUCGAACGCUUCUGCCCCCCAGCUCUCGUCACUGCCACAGAGAGAAGCUGAAUCUCUCUGCCCUGCAUCGUUCCGCCGUUCGCGCCGCUCUAUGCGCCGCCGCGAGCUCAGCCGGCCACCACCAACUCUGGGUGGCACUACUUCUGCUCUUCUUCCCCUUUCCAUUUCCCAGUCUGUCUCUACUACAUUCCAGCUCUGAGGGAUAUUUCUUUGCAUUUUGAUCAUUCCCUCUUGAUGUGGGAGUUCUAGUGCAAGUGGGGUUUUCCCUUUUUUCUGGGAUUUUGAAGUGGAAGUGGGAGUUCGAGUGAUUUAGAUUAUACCCGAGAGAAGGGGCUGGUUGAUGCAGCUUUUGGUUAAAUAAUUAAAGGUUCAUUUAUGCUCAGUUUUGAAUAUGCUGCCUGAUCAGGGAAAAAAGGCAGUCAAUGACAAGCAAAAUGAAGCCAUCACAGCUGCAUCUAAUGAGUUGGCCAAAAGAAAAAGCGAUCUUGAAGAAAAUUUAAAACUUUCACAUGAUUUAAAAGUCUAGGCGCAGCAUGGAAUGUUGCUAAUGUGACAAAAGGAUCAACUGGGGUGAUAUUUGGUCUCGGAACUGUUGGCCUUUCUGUUGCACAAGGUGCAAAACUAAGGGGAGCAUCUCGAAUAAUUGGCGUGGAUAAGAAUCCACAUAAGUGUGAAAAAGCAAAAGCUUUUGGAUUUACAGAAGUUGUUGACGCGAGUUCCUACCAAGAACCUAUUGCUCAAGUUACUAUUCCUUUUUCAGUUAUACCAUCUGACAAGGGCUACUUAUUACAAGUAUCCAAAGCAAAAGUUUUCAUUCCAGUGGCUAAAUGGUCGUCGCAGAUUCUUCCAACCCACCACCGUCUUCUGAGUUAUGUUCGUCGCCUGGCCUCUGUCUCCGUCACGAUUCUGCCCCCCUCUUCUCAGACUACUCAGUAGAAAAAUCCAUCUCCAUUCCAGUUUCCUUCCUUCGAGUUCAGAGAGCAGAAGCUCAACCAAGAAAAAAACCUUAGACUUCGACGAUCAAAGUUGUGAACAUGCGUAACAGGGAAUUAGUGCUGGAUUUAUUGCAGUCUGUUGUGGAGAUAAUUACUUAUGGUGAUAAACAUGAUCCAUCCAUUCUUGAAUGUUUCAUGGAUCGCCAAGUGGUUGCGGAAUUCGUUCGAAUGCUUGAUAUCAGUGAAAAUUCAAGAAUUGAGGCACCAUUACUUCAGUAUCUCAGCAUAAUGAUUCAAAACAUGGAUAAUGAACAUGCAAUUUGUAAGACUGUUAGUAUUUCUUGAUGUUUCAGGCUAAGGUCAUUAGACUUUAGAGUUUUACCUAUUUUCCAUACAUUGUUAGGCAUGAAAUAGUUAUUUGAGUUGAAAACUUUAAUUUUUUUAAUUGAAGAUCUUUAGACCCAUCAAUAGUGUAAUGCACGAGAUCUUAUGCUAUGCGGAAAUGUUGUCAAAUAUGGUACACAGAAUCCAGAUGGUCUGUUGGUACUUUUAUAUUAUCUACUAGUAUGUCUUAGGCUUCAUACUGGUACUUAAUCCAAUAUGCUGUGCUGACUUUGCAUCUUGCAGACUAUUGUUUCAGCAAUGGUUAUAUUAAUAGCAUUAUUUUGCAUCCGUAUGAACUUGAUGGGGGAGACUUGGCUCCAUACUAUAUGUCUUUUCUAAGGUUGUGUUGCAAGUUUUUCUGUUAUAAAUUUUAUCUCCUCUUUCUUUUAUUAGUGAAUCACAUAAGGGUGUAAAUUUUCUGAUUCUGAUAUUUUGUUUCACAUGGUUUUAUGUUUGUUGUUAUCUUUUAAUAUUUAUUCUAAAAGGAGAAACUAACUUUUGGUUCAUUUCUUCAUUCAGGGCUGUUAGUGGUAAAAUAAACAGAGACACACUUUGCCUUCUUGUGAAUGUACAUGGGGUAGGUCAAAACUUGUAAAUAUGAUGGUUUGUUGCUGUAUAUUGAGCUAAAAUAAUUGUCUUCUCACUUUUGAAUAGGACAAGUGAAUAAUGAAUUCAUCCUUUUUUUGUUGAAUUUACUAUGCUAGAGUAGUUUUGAAUUACACACGUUUAGAAAGCUAAUGUAAUAUCAUUUUUGUUGAAUUCACAUUCUGUAUUCAAUAAUAUUCUGUUUCUAAAUUUUAUAUUCUGUAACCUCUUUUACCUUGAAAAAGUUUAUUCCCCCACCCAAAAAAAAUAAUCUAUUUGAAAAUUAAAAAAAAAAGGGGUAAGUGGUUGGUCACAAAAACAUAUGAUACUAACAUUAGUAGUCAUCAGCCAUGAAUUAUAAUACUAAGUUGUCAGAAAAACAUGAAAUUCCUUAAACUAUCAGAAAAGCACUAAAGAAAAUUUACAACAUAAUUUGGUCUCUGCACUA
Molecule: RNA transcript, 2514 nt
Organism: Arachis duranensis
Lineage: Eukaryota; Viridiplantae; Streptophyta; Magnoliopsida; Fabales; Fabaceae
Gene name: protein TRANSPARENT TESTA 9-like
Exons: 9
Source: RefSeq, a predicted model, not a curated record